GGUGAAACACAUCCUGAAUCCUGUGGCAAUAGCUGCUGAUACGGUCUUGUAAACCACUUCCUUGACCUCAAAUUGCAGCUGUGCACACUUUUAUCUUGCUUGACGUAUGGCUGGAGGUAGGAUUUAAUUUCCACUCUUCAUAUGAAACAAGGCUGUUAAGUGUUAUUAGAAGCUGUUACUGUGAUCUGCAGUGUCCAUUCCACUAAUACAUUUAUGUUUGCUUUCCAGCUUACCCUGAGAUCUUCAUUAGCCUGCAGGAGGGCUCAGCCAGCACUUCACAGAAGCCCAAUGUGAGCUGUGUCGUGAGGAAGGCGUUUCACAAGCCAAGCCUCCUGUGGUACAUGGACAGAGCAAGCCUGAUGGAGAAGCCUGGAGAAAUUUCUGUGGUACAAGAAGACUUGCAAGACAGUGAAGGUUUCUAUGAGUUGAGAUCAACACUGAUGCUACAAGGGACCCACGAGACACAUAAGACAUUCUCAUGUGUGUGUCUGUUUCCCUUCCUGGGAAAUGAAACAAGGAAUAUUUCAUCAGAAGAAAUAUUUGUUUCCUUUGGCAAUAAGUCUGAUGAAGCCUCAGCUGAAGUUUUUACUACCACAGUUUCAGAUGGUAGGAUAAAUUAGAGAAUAAAAUAAUUUAGGUUGUGUUCGAGGUGCA
This 654-nucleotide long non-coding RNA is filed under the name Parus major (Great Tit). RNAcentral describes it as "lncRNA (ENSPMJG00000011924.1)". The record is from RNAcentral. Lineage: Eukaryota; Metazoa; Chordata; Aves; Passeriformes; Paridae.